GUCCACGCUGUAAACGAUGGGUGCUAGGUGUCGUGGGUAUUGACCCCUGCGGUGCCGAAGUUAACGCAUUAAGCACCCCGCCUGGGGAGUACGGCCGCAAGGCUAAAACUCAAAGGAAUUGACGGGGGCCCGCACAAGCGGUGGAGUAUGUGGUUUAAUUCGACGCAACGCGAAGAACCUUACCUGGGUUAAAUCCUCUGGAAUCCCCCUAGAGAUAGGGGAGUGCCCGCAAGGGAGCCGGAUGGAAGGUGCUGCAUGGCUGUCGU
RNAcentral lists this ribosomal RNA (266 nucleotides) under uncultured bacterium. Its description in RNAcentral is "partial 16S ribosomal RNA". It matches the Rfam family "Bacterial small subunit ribosomal RNA", at positions 793 to 1055 of the family's 1533-position model. The record is from RNAcentral.